Molecule: long non-coding RNA, 493 nt
Organism: Zeugodacus cucurbitae (melon fly)
Lineage: Eukaryota; Metazoa; Arthropoda; Insecta; Diptera; Tephritidae
Exons: 2
Source: RefSeq, a predicted model, not a curated record
UUUUCCUAUAUAAAUAGCAGCAGUGAGCUAUAAAUAUUUUAUUCUACUUCAUUUCUCAGUACAAAACUUCAUUCCAAUUUGAAAACACUUCACUACGAUCUUCGUCAUGUUUUAUAAAAGCACUUUACUCCGUUUUAUAGUUGCCACUUUUGUUUUCGCGACACUGUUAACUCUAACACAUUGUGCUGAGCGGGAACUUUUUGCCACAAAUACUCAGGUUUUACUGCGUCAUAUAAGACAGGGAUCACUGCCGAUACCGAGACCAGCAUUUCAAGGUAACGCUCCUCAUCCACGACCAGCUAGACAAGGAAAUCGACCGCCUACUAGGCCAGCAUAGUAGAUCAAGAUAAGCUCGUUCGAGACAUACGGGGUUCAAUGACAUAACGGGUUAUUUUUUUAACCGUACAUAAUAUAAUCACAUAAUAUGAUGUAACAAAAAUAAAAAUUGGAAAUAAAAGCGAUAUUCGUUUUAUUUCUAUUAUUAUAAAACGGA